This 2293-nucleotide ribosomal RNA is filed under the name human gut metagenome. Its description in RNAcentral is "bacterial LSU rRNA". It matches the Rfam family "Bacterial large subunit ribosomal RNA", at positions 1 to 2305 of the family's 2925-position model. The record is from RNAcentral.
UAAAGUAAGAAAGAGCGUAUGGCGGAUGCCUAGGCACAGAGAGGCGAAGAAGGACGCAGCAAACAGCGAAAUGCGACGGUUAGCAGUAAGCAUGCAACGAUCCGUCGAUGUCCGAAUGGGGGAACCCACCUGGAGUAGAGACCAGGUAUCCUGAAGUGAAUAAAUAGCUUCAGAGAGGCGAGACUCAGGGAACUGAAACAUCUAAGUACCUGAAGGAAGAGAAAAUAAACGAAUGAUUCCCUAAGUAGCGGCGAGCGAAAGGGGAAGAGCCCAAACCGAUCUUAGGAUCGGGGUUGUAGGACUGUCGGCAAAGAGCAAGAAAUCAUUAUAGGCGAACGGAAUGGGAAGUCCGGCGAAACAGGGUGACAGCCCCGUAGCCGAAAUAGUGAAGAAGCACGAGACAGCACCUGAGUACGGCGGGACACGAGGAAUCCUGUCGGAAUCCACCAGGACCAUCUGGUAAGGCUAAAUACUCCUCUGUGACCGAUAGUGAACCAGUACCGUGAGGGAAAGGUGAAAAGAACCCCGGGAGGGGAGUGAAAUAGAACCUGAAACCAUAUGCUUACAAGAAGUUAGAGCCCGUUAAAGGGUGAUAGCGUGCCUUUUGUAGAAUGAACCGGCGAGUUACGAUAUGGAGCGAGGUUAAGCAGGAUAUGCGGAGCCGAAGCGAAAGCGAGUCUUAACAGGGCGAAAGUUGCAUGUCGUAGACCCGAAACCGAGUGAUCUAGCCAUGACCAGGUUGAAGUUGGGGUAAAACCCGAUGGAGGACCGAACCGACCCCCGUUGAAACGUUGGCGGAUGAGUUGUGGCUAGGGGUGAAAUUCCAAUCGAACUCGGAGAUAGCUGGUUCUCCCCGAAAUAGCUUUAGGGCUAGCGUCGAGGUAAAGUCGUGUGAAGGUAGAGCACUGAAUAUGUGAUGGCCCCAUCUCGGGGUACUGAACAUAAUCAAACUCCGAAUGUCACAAAGAUAUACUCGGCAGUCAGACAGUGGGUGAUAAGGUCCAUUGUCAAAAGGGAAACAGCCCAGACCAUCAGCUAAGGUCCCAAAAUAUAUACUAAGUGGAAAAGGAUGUGGAGAUGUCCAGACAACUAGGAGGUUGGCUCAGAAGCAGCCAUCCUUUAAAGAGUGCGUAACAGCUCACUAGUCGAAUGACUCUGCGCCGAUAAUUUACCGGGGCUAAGUAUAUUACCGAAGCUAUGGAUUUACGCGUAAGCGUGAGUGGUAGGGGAGCGUUCUAUGUGCGGAGAAGCGGUACCGUAAGGAGCCGUGGAGCGCAUAGAAGAGAGAAUGCCGGUGUGAGUAGCGAAACGUGGGUGAGAAUCCCACGCACCGAAAACCCAAGGUUUCCAGAGGAAGGUUCGUCCGCUCUGGGUAAGUCGGGACCUAAGGCGAGGCCGAGAGGCGUAGUCGAUGGACAACAGGUAGAGAUUCCUGUACUUACGGUAUGAAUGAUGGAGUGACGGAGAAGGCUAGCGGAUCCUGCUGAUGGAAAUGCAGGUGCAAGCGAGGUAGCCGACAGCCAGGCAAAUCCGGCUGUCGAAAGGCAAAGGCGUGAGGCGUAUGGAAAGCUGCGGCAAGUACAGAAGUCCGUGAAGCCAGCUUCCAAGAAAAGCUUCUAGUGAUAAUCAUACAGUAACCCGUACCGAAAAUGGACACACAUGGGUGAGGAGAGAAUCCUAAGGUGAGCGAGAGAACUAUAGCUAAGGAACUCUGCAAAAUGACUCCGUAACUUAGGGAUAAGGAGUGCUCAUAGAGAUAUGAGCCGCAGUGAAACGGCCCAAGCGACUGUUUACCAAAAACACAGCUCUAUGCUAAGUCGAAAGACGACGUAUAUGGGGUGACGCCUGCCCGGUGCUGGAAGGUUAAGAGGAUGUGUCAGCGCAAGCGAAGCAUUGAAUUGAAGCCCCAGUAAACGGCGGCCGUAACUAUAACGGUCCUAAGGUAGCGAAAUUCCUUGUCAGGUAAGUUCUGACCCGCACGAAAGGCGUAACGAUUUGGGCGCUGUCUCAGCUGUAGACUCGGUGAAGUCUUAGUACCUGUGAAGAUGCAGGUUACCCGCGACUAGACGGAAAGACCCCAUGGAGCUUUACUGUAGCUUGAUAUUGGACUUUGAUGCAAGAUGUACAGGAUAGGUAGGAGACUGAGAGACAUGCACGCCAGUGUGUGAGGAGUCAAUGUUGGGAUACUACUCUUCUUGUAUUGGAGUUCUAACCGGAUGCCAUGGAACUGGCAACGGGACAGUGUCAGGUGGGCAGUUUGACUGGGGCGGUCGCCUCCCAAAGAGUAACGGAG